AUGACAAACACAAAGGGAAAGAGGAGAGGCAUCUGAUACACGUUUUCUAGGCCUUUUAGAAAACAUGGAGUUGUUCCUUUGGCCACAUAUAUGCGGAUCUAUAAGAAAGGUGAUAUUGUCGACAUCAAGGGAAUAGAUACUGUUCAAAAAAGAGUGCCCCACAAGGGUUACCAUGGCAAACUGGAAGAGUCUACAAUGUCACCCAACAUGCUGUUGGCAUUGUUGUAAACAAGUCAAGGGCAAGAUUCUUGCCAAGAGAAUGAAUGUGCGUAUUGAACACAUUAAGCACUCUAAGAGUUGAGAUAGCUUCCCGAAAUGCGUGAAGGAAAAUGAUCAGAAAAAGAAGGAAGCCAAGGAGAAAGGUACCUGGGUUCAACUGAAGUGCCAGCCUGCUCCAUUCAGAGAAGCACGCUUUGUGAGAACCAAUGGAAAGGAACCUGAGCUGUUGGGACCUAUUCCCUAUGAAUUCAUGGCAUAA
Molecule: long non-coding RNA, 478 nt
Filed under: Homo sapiens (human)
Lineage: Eukaryota; Metazoa; Chordata; Mammalia; Primates; Hominidae
Description: non-protein coding lnc-ADAMTS20-2:1
Source: RNAcentral